CAGUAGCCGCGGGAAUACGUAGGGCGCAAGCGUUAUCCGGAAUUAUUGGGCGUAAAGAGCUCGUAGGCGGUUUGUCGCGUCUGCCGUGAAAGUCCGGGGCUCAACCCCGGAUCUGCGGUGGGUACGGGCAGACUAGAGCGAUGUAGGAGAGACUGGAAUUCCUGGUGUAGCGGUGAAAUGCGCAGAUAUCAGGAGGAACACCGAUGGCGAAGGCAGGUCCCUGGGCAUUAACUGACGCUGAGGAGCGAAAGCAUGGGGAGCGAACAGGAUUAGAUACCCCCGUAGUCCCUGUCUCUUAUAC
Molecule: ribosomal RNA, 301 nt
Filed under: uncultured bacterium
Lineage: Bacteria
Description: partial 16S ribosomal RNA
Rfam family: Bacterial small subunit ribosomal RNA
Source: RNAcentral